RNAcentral lists this unclassified non-coding RNA (1640 nucleotides) under Zea mays. Its description in RNAcentral is "misc RNA Zm00001eb141380". The record is from RNAcentral. Lineage: Eukaryota; Viridiplantae; Streptophyta; Magnoliopsida; Poales; Poaceae.
GUGGUUAUACUUUUAAAACGGCCCGCGUCCGGCGCCCCGCGCCCCCGCUCCCUCUUGUCUGUCUGCGAACCAACCAACGAACGCCAAAGCCAGCGCCGCGGCGUAGCCACCACCCUCUACUAUUAUAGCCAACGUCUCUGCGCGUGCGGUGCCGGAGCGGCGGAACCUCCCCCCAUCCUACCUCACCAUGAUGGCAAUGCCGGACGCGGACCGCAACGCCAUGUCGGCGCCGCUGCUCCCGCGGCCCGCGUGCCUGACGGCGUCCUUCUCCUCCUCCUCCUCCUCCUCCUCCUCCUUCGCCUCCUUCUCCUCCUCCAACUCCUCCGACCCCUCACCCCCGUCCGCCUUCCCGCCGGCGGGGCCGUGCAAGGCGUUGGCGGUGCUGCGGGACCACGCGGGCUCCGUCUCCAGCCUCUCCCUCUGCGGGGAGUUCCUGCUCAGCGCGUCCACGGCCGGCGACGUCGUGGCGUGGCAGCAGCCCGACCUCCGGCGCUUCGCGCGCUUCGGCCACGGCGAGAGCGGCGGCUCCGUCAAGGCGCUGGCGGCCGCGGGCGGCCGCGUCUUCUCCGCGCACCAGGACGGCCGCGUCCGCGUCUGGCGCGUCUCCCGCGGCCGCCGCUCCGAGAACGCCUUCAAGCUCGUCGCCGCGCUGCCCACCGCCAGGGACUACCUGGGCCGGGUGUUCCGCCAGGACAGCUACGUGCAGACCACCGCCACCACGGCGGCGCGCCGCGCCCACCACCGCCGCCUCUGGAUCGAGCACGCCGACAGCAUCUCCUGCCUCGCCGUCGCCGUGCACGACGCCGCGCUCCUCUACUCGGGCUCCUGGGACCGCACGCUCAAGGUCUGGCGCGUCGCCGACCUCAGGUGCCUCGAGUCCAUCCGCGCCCACGACGACGCCGUCAACGCCGUCGCCGCAGACGCCGGCAUCGUCUACUCCGCCUCCGCCGACGGCCGCGUCAAGGCCUGGGAGAAGGGGAAGGCGUCGCAUUUCCUCCAGGGCGUCCUCGUCGCCCGCGACGGCGUCUCGUGGAACGCGCUCGCCGUCGCCGCCGACGACCGCCGGCUCUACGCCGCGGGCUCCGACGGCCACGUCGCCGCCUGGGACCGCCUCGGCGGCAGGACCGCCGCGCGCUGGACCCUCGCGUGCGACGUCAGGGCGCACGACGCCGCCGUGCUGUGCCUCUGCGUCGCCAGGGACCUGCUCUGCACCGGCUCCGCCGACAAGACCAUCGGCCUGUGGCGCCGUCAGAGCGCCGGCGAGCUGGCCAAGGUGGGCGUCGUCAGAGGCCACGAGGGCCCCGUCAAAUGCAUCCAGGCGUCCUGGUGCAGGCUCACCAAUGGCUGCAUGGUCUACAGCGGGAGCCUUGACAAGACCAUCAGAGUUUGGUGGGUGCCCGGUGCCUUGCAGCAUGCCAAUGACAAAGAGCAGCAGCAGCAGCAGCAAAAAGAUGGCUUCAAGGAUCACAAGCACAAGGCUUCUUUGUUCUUGAGAUGAAACUUGUGUCUGCUCCAAAUUUCGAAAUGGAUUGAUUGAGAUUGCUCAGGUCUAGUCUGUAUUUUGGAUUGGUUGAUUUAUAUUACAAGGAUAAAUGGGUAACACACAAAAGUAGCCAUAGAGUGGGUGUGCUUCUGUAAAU